UUUAUCAAUGGUCAUUUUGCGUAAUGCAUUAUUAAAGACAAGACACAUUGUCAGAGGUAUUCUAGUUCCGUCCAUCAUAUCCUUGAUAGCACACUCUUUACCGCUGUUGCAAGAAAAAUGACUCAAGGAGUUUUGUGAUUUUGACAUUAUUCUACCGAUUAACCAUCAUGUUCCCUCCGCUCCUCUCAGUAUGUUAUUUCAUGAUAGUGACUCUCGCGCUGAAAUACGAUUAUUUUGUAGUCGACCGUCUUUUUGGUCUUGAAUGAGUGCAUUGGGAAUAAAGAAGGUUGAAAAUGAACCCCGAAUCGCCAGGACUAUUGGCAUAACGAAGAGAAUGGCAGGAAGUUUGAUACAAAAAUGAUAUUUUGGGGUCUGUUGCACAGGUAGAGGGAUGAAUAAAAUUUAUUGCAUAAUCUGAA
Long non-coding RNA from Bemisia tabaci, 419 nucleotides. RefSeq lists it as uncharacterized. The record is from RefSeq and is a predicted model, not a curated record. NCBI's taxonomy places the organism in Eukaryota, Metazoa, Arthropoda, Insecta, Hemiptera, Aleyrodidae.